This 568-nucleotide ribosomal RNA is filed under the name uncultured bacterium. Its description in RNAcentral is "bacterial SSU rRNA". It matches the Rfam family "Bacterial small subunit ribosomal RNA", at positions 338 to 916 of the family's 1533-position model. The record is from RNAcentral.
CCUACGGGAGGCAGCAGUGGGGAAUAUUGCACAAUGGGCGAAAGCCUGAUGCAGCGACGCCGCGUGAGGGAUGACGGCCUUCGGGUUGUAAACCUCUUUCAGCAGGGAAGAAGCGAGAGUGACGGUACCUGCAGAAGAAGCGCCGGCUAACUACGUGCCAGCAGCCGCGGUAAUACGUAGGGCGCAAGCGUUGUCCGGAAUUAUUGGGCGUAAAGAGCUCGUAGGCGGCUCGUCGCGUCGGUUGUGAAAGCCCGGGGCUUAACCCCGGGUCUGCAGUCGAUACGGGCAGGCUAGAGUGUGGUAGGGGAGAUCGGAAUUCCUGGUGUAGCGGUGAAAUGCGCAGAUAUCAGGAGGAACACCGGUGGCGAAGGCGGAUCUCUGGGCCAUUACUGACGCUGAGGAGCGAAAGCGUGGGGAGCGAACAGGAUUAGAUACCCUGGUAGUCCACGCCGUAAACGUUGGGAACUAGGUGUUGGCGACAUUCCACGUCGUCGGUGCCGCAGCUAACGCAUUAAGUUCCCCGCCUGGGGAGUACGGCCGCAAGGCUAAAACUCAAAGGAAUUGACGG